AAAAAAUCGAAGAAUGAAAAGAGUAAAUAUCAAACAAGAAUGAAGCGAUCUAAGGUUGGUGUAAGCUUAGACUUAAUUGGUAUUGAACGCCUUCAGGAGAAUUACUAGUGAAAUUAGAGUAAUUAGUGACGUUAACUGCGUUAAAGUAAAUAAGUGCACUAUUUUUGUGAAUAGUGAACAAAGGUGGUACCGCGAUUAUUUCGUCCUUAAU
Molecule: non-coding RNA, 211 nt
Filed under: Haloplasma contractile
Lineage: Bacteria; Bacillati; Mycoplasmatota; Mollicutes; Haloplasmatales; Haloplasmataceae
Description: T-box sequence
Rfam family: T-box leader
About the family: Uncharged tRNA acts as the effector for transcription antitermination of genes in the T-box leader family. T-boxes are found upstream of many aminoacyl-tRNA synthetase genes and some amino acid biosynthetic genes usually in Gram-positive bacteria.
Source: RNAcentral